GAUGAACGCUGGCGGCGUGCCUAAUACAUGCAAGUCGAGCGAACAGACGAGGAGCUUGCUCCUUUGACGUUAGCGGCGGACGGGUGAGUAACACGUGGAUAACCUACCUAUAAGACUGGGAUAACUUCGGGAAACCGGAGCUAAUACCGGAUAACAUGUUGAACCGAAUGGUUCAACAGUGAAAGACGGUCUUGCUGUCACUUAUAGAUGGAUCCGCGCCGCAUUAGCUAGUUGGUAAGGUAACGGCUUACCAAGGCAACGAUGCGUAGCCGACCUGAGAGGGUGAUCGGCCACACUGGAACUGAGACACGGUCCAGACUCCUACGGGAGGCAGCAGUAGGGAAUCUUCCGCAAUGGGCGAAAGCCUGACGGAGCAACGCCGCGUGAGUGAAGAAGGUCUUCGGAUCGUAAAACUCUGUUAUUAGGGAAGAACAAAUGUGUAAGUAACUAUGCACGUCUUGACGGUACCUAAUCAGAAAGCCACGGCUAACUACGUG
This 497-nucleotide ribosomal RNA is filed under the name uncultured bacterium. RNAcentral describes it as "partial 16S ribosomal RNA". It matches the Rfam family "Bacterial small subunit ribosomal RNA", at positions 28 to 507 of the family's 1533-position model. The record is from RNAcentral.